Neofelis nebulosa (Clouded leopard) is the source of this 1508-nucleotide long non-coding RNA. RefSeq lists it as uncharacterized. Lineage: Eukaryota; Metazoa; Chordata; Mammalia; Carnivora; Felidae. The transcript is spliced from 4 exons. The record is from RefSeq and is a predicted model, not a curated record.
AGCCAUGGCAACAAAGAGCCUUGCGCUCACUACAGCAGAGCAUUCUGCCUUUGUCCGAUCCGGUCCGGUGCGUCAGUCUCUGCAAACAACAAAAGAUGUGGCCACUGACCGCCUGCCCCUGCUCCCAUCAGAGGACCAAGGGAAGCUGAGGCCUCUCUGACUGGAAGCAAGCUAGGAGAGCAGCAGACAGGUGAGUUCAUCCAUGCUUUUGGCUUCAAUUCUCACCUCCUGGAGGAAGACUUCUAGGGAAGGCAUUAUGGUUGACUCCCUAACUUCAGUUCCACCCCAGAUGAUUACUAUACAGCCAAGAUGAUGCUGCAAGAUUAGGGCAGGAUAGAAACUAGAGGAGCCCAGCUCUUCUCCUGAGACCUUCUCUUCAGAAGUGACAGACCUGCCACCUUUAUCUGUGAGAAAAACAGAUGACUCUGGUUCAAUCACUCCUUCCUGACACUUGGAGUGAAAUUCAUCUGAGGUGAAUUCACCUAAGGUCUUACUCCCAAUAAACCUUUUGCCUUUCUGACUCCAUCUCAGCAUUCCUUCCCGGAGGAUUCAACUGCCACACUUGUCUUGGUAUGGCUGGAAGAAAGAGACUGAAGGAGAGAGGUCUAAAACCAGGCUGUAGAGGUAAGCAAAGCCAGAACACACAGGACUUGUUAGGCCAUGCUAAGUAUUUUUUACUUUGCCAUUAGGGCAGCUGGAAGUCACUGCAUGUUUUUAAACAGACUGAGGAGGAGUGGGGAAAAUGAUCAAAUGUAAAUUUGAAAAAUUUGAAAAAUGAUCUAAAUGUAAAUUUAGAAAGGCCACUCCAGCUGUUAUAUGUUAAAAAGGCUGGAGACUUGGGAGACUGAGGACAAGAAGAUCAAUAUGCAUGCUAUAACUGGAGUCUAAAAAGAGAAAAUAGUGGCUUGGGCUAGGAUGAACCAGACAGUGAAGGUUUGAAAGAUAUUUAAAAAGUAGAAUCUCCAAAAUUUGGUGAUUUAUUGGAUGUGGGUGGUGUGGGAAAUGUAAAAGUCAAGGAUGCCCAGAUCUCUGGCUUGAGCUACUAUGUGGAAAGUGGUGCUAGAUGCUGAUACAGGGAGUCCUGUGGGAAACAAAUGUGAGAGUUCAACUUUGGACAUGCAGAGUUGGAGAUGCCCCUGGGAUAUCCAAGAGCACUAUAAAGAGUUGGAUAUAUUGUUCUGGAGUGUGAACAGAAAUUUAGGCUGGAGAAGUACAUUUGGGAGUCCUUAGCAUACAGAUGGAAGCAAAUGAGAUCAUCCAGGAGAGGUACAAUGUUUUGAGAGAGACGUAAGAGAUUGACCUAGGAAACUCAGGCAUAUAAGGUUCUGGAAGGGGACAAGAGGUUAACAAAUGAGACUUAGGCCAGGGAAUAUGGAGUCACAGAAACUUUGAGAGGGUUUUUGAUAAGGAGGAGAUAUAAAUAUUACCUAGUGUCUAAGCAAGGUAAGGACUGAAACUAUUCUUUUGCCUUAGUGACAUGGAGGCCAUUGGUGAACUUAAUAAGAGAC